This 584-nucleotide small RNA is filed under the name Pan troglodytes (chimpanzee). RNAcentral's name for it is "retained intron". The record is from RNAcentral. Lineage: Eukaryota; Metazoa; Chordata; Mammalia; Primates; Hominidae.
GAAUUUGAAAUGCACUGACCUGGGCCUUCUGUCAAUCAGCUCCCUGCCAUGGAGACCUGACAGAGUCUCAUUCAUGACUGCCACAACAGAGACACUGAGAAAAAGAUGCAACCAUGAAAAGGUGGCAAGUUCUAACGACAUAGAAAAUAGCAAUCAGCCUUUCUUAUAUCUGAAAGCCUUCCAAAAUAUCUGAGUGCAGUAGAGAAUUGACAGAGGACUGAUCACCAUCCUAGAAACAUGGUGAGAGGGAAAAAAAAACUGCAAGAAUAUAAUCAUCUCCCAUCAAUUGUCCAAGAGAAAUAACGUAGUCCUUGAAGAAACAAUUAUAGAGUACCUCAUGCUACAUGCCUGUUCCUGACGCUCCCCCAUGUAAAAUAACAUCAUCUUCAUUCCUUCUUUUCUUUUCUUUCCAUGACAGCUCCUCCAGGAAUAGGACGUCUUCCUCUCCUUAAUCCAAUAUAGCAGCCGUGAUGUCAUUUCUGUAUUUCAGGAAGACUGGCAGACAGUUGCUUUGAUUCUUCCUCAAACUACUUACAAUCAGCUACAGUCCAAAAUUGCUUUUUCUUCAAGGAGAUUUAUGGAAA